CCUGACGACGCAACGCCGCGUGAGGAUGAAGGUCUUCGGAUUGUAAACUCCUGUUGCCCGGGACGAAACGCUCGACCUAACACGUCGGAGUCUGACGGUACCGGGUGAGGAAGCCCCGGCUAACUCUGUGCCAGCAGCCGCGGUAAUACAGAGGGGGCUAGCGUUGUUCGGAAUUACUGGGCGUAAAGGGCGCGUAGGUGGCCUGUUAAGUCGAACGUGAAAUCCCCGGGCUCAACCCGGGAACUGCGUCCGAGACUGGCAGGCUCGAAUCCGGGAGAGGGAUGUGGAAUUCCAGGUGUAGCGGUGAAAUGCGUAGAUAUCUGGAGGAACACCGGUGGCGAAGGCGGCAUCCUGGACCGGUAUUGACGCUGAGGCGCGAAAGCCAGGGGAGCAAACGGGAUUAGAUACCCCGGUAGUCCUGGCCCUAAACGAUGAAUGCUUGGUGUGGCGGGUAUCGAUCCCUGCCGUGCCGAAGCUAACGCAUUAAGCAUUCCGCCUGGGGAGUACGGUCGCAAGGCUG
RNAcentral lists this ribosomal RNA (520 nucleotides) under uncultured Acidobacteriota bacterium. Its description in RNAcentral is "bacterial SSU rRNA". It matches the Rfam family "Bacterial small subunit ribosomal RNA", at positions 382 to 896 of the family's 1533-position model. The record is from RNAcentral. Lineage: Bacteria; Pseudomonadati; Acidobacteriota.